GCUGACGUCAACGUCAUCGGAGCAGCAGACUAUCGGAACAGCAGAGUAGCGGAGAAGCCGAGCAGCAGCCUCGGUGUCAAUCAGUCCACCUUUACCAAGGAACAGCCACAGCAUUUAUGCGUUGCCAAUCGGCCAAUUAUAACCUAGCAUUGAAGCAGGAAAAAGUG
This is a long non-coding RNA of Drosophila obscura, 167 nucleotides long. RefSeq lists it as uncharacterized. The record is from RefSeq and is a predicted model, not a curated record. NCBI's taxonomy places the organism in Eukaryota, Metazoa, Arthropoda, Insecta, Diptera, Drosophilidae. The transcript is spliced from 2 exons.